CAGUCGCCGCGGUAAUACAGAGGGUGCGAGCGUUAAUCGGAUUUACUGGGCGUAAAGCGUGCGUAGGCGGCUUUUUAAGUCGGAUGUGAAAUCCCCGAGCUUAACUUGGGAAUUGCAUUCGAUACUGGGAAGCUAGAGUAUGGGAGAGGAUGGUAGAAUUCCAGGUGUAGCGGUGAAAUGCGUAGAGAUCUGGAGGGAUACCGAUGGCGAAGGCAGCCAUCUGGCCUAAUACUGACGCUGAGGUACGAAAGCAUGGGGAGCAAACAGGAUUAGAUACCCGAGUAGUCCCUGUCUCUUAUAC
This 301-nucleotide ribosomal RNA is filed under the name uncultured bacterium. RNAcentral describes it as "partial 16S ribosomal RNA". It matches the Rfam family "Bacterial small subunit ribosomal RNA", at positions 509 to 807 of the family's 1533-position model. The record is from RNAcentral.